UCCAAUAGCGUAUNUUAAAGUUGUUGUCAGUUAAAAGCUCGUAGUUGAAUUCGGGGUUAGUAGGUUGGUCGUGCCUUUGGUAUGUACUGGUCUCACUGAUUCCUCCUUCUUGAAGAACUGUAAUGUCAUUAAUUGGUGUUGCAGGGAAACAGGACUGUUACUUUGAAAAAAUUAGAGUGUUUAAAGCAGGCAAUUGCUUGAAUACAUUAGCAUGGAAUAAUGAAAUAGGACGUUUGAUCCUAUUUUGUUGGUUUCUAGGAUUGACGUAAUGAUUAAUAGGGAUAGUUGGGGGCAUUAGUAUUCAAUUGUCAGAGGUGAAAUUCUUGGAUUUAUUGAAGACUAACUACUGCGAAAGCAUUUGCCAAGGAUGUUUUCAUUAAUCAAGAACGAAAGUUAGGGGAUCGAAGACGAUCAGAUACCGUCGUAGUCUUAACCAUAAACUAUGCCGACUAGGGAUCGGAUGAUGUUAAUUUUUUUAAUGACUCAUUCGGCGCCUUACGG
This 501-nucleotide ribosomal RNA is filed under the name uncultured Glomus. RNAcentral's name for it is "SSU rRNA". It matches the Rfam family "Eukaryotic small subunit ribosomal RNA", at positions 590 to 1093 of the family's 1831-position model. The record is from RNAcentral. Lineage: Eukaryota; Fungi; Glomeromycota; Glomeromycetes; Glomerales; Glomeraceae.